GGGAGUGGCCCCGGGGCCUUAUCAGCUUGUUGGUGGGGUGAUGGCCUACCCAAGGCGGACGACGGGUACCCCGCCUUGAGAGGGUUUCCGGCCACACUGGGACUGAGAUACGGCCCAGAUUCCUACGGGAGGCAGCAGUGGGGAAUAUUGCACAAUGGGCGCAAGCCUGAUGCAGCGACGCCGCUUGAGGGAUGACGGCCUUCGGGUUGUAAACCUCUUUCAAUAGGGACGAAGCGUAAGUGACGGUACCUAUAGAAGAAGCACCGGCCAACUACGUGCCAGCAGCCGCGGUAAUACGUAGGGUGCGAGCGUUGUCCGGAAUUACUGGGCGUAAAGAGCUCGUAGGUGGUUUGUCGCGUUGUUCGUGAAAACUCACAGCUUAACUGUGGGCGUGCGGGCGAUACGGGCAGACUGGAGUACUGCAGGGGAGACUGGAAUUCCUGGUGUAGCGGUGGAAUGCGCAGAUAUCAGGAGGAACACCGGUGGCGAAGGCGGGUCUCUGGGCAGUAACUGACGCUGAGGAGCGAAAGCGUGGGGAGCGAACAGGAUUAGAUACCCUGGUAGUCCACGCCGUAAACGGUGGGUACUAGGUGUGGGUUUCCUUCCUUGGGAUCCGUGCCGUAGCUAACGCAUUAAGUACCCCGCCUGGGGAGUACGGCCGCAAGGCUAAAACUCAAAGGAAUUGACGGGGGCCCGCACAAGCGGCGGAGCAUGUGGAUUAAUUCGAUGCAACGCGAAGAACCUUACCUGGGUUUGACAUGCACAGGACGCCGGCAGAGAUGUCGGUUCCCUUGUGGCCUGUGUGCAGGUGGUGCAUGGCUGUCGUCAGCUCGUGUCGUGAGAUGUUGGGUUAAGUCCCGCAACGAGCGCAACCCUUGUCUCAUGUUGCCAGCACGUUAUGGUGGGGACUCGUGAGAGACUGCCGGGGUCAACUCGGAGGAAGGUGGGGAUGACGUCAAGUCAUCAUGCCCCUUAUGUCCAGGGCUUCACACAUGCUACAAUGGCCGGUACAAAGGGCUGCGAUGCCGUGAGGUGGAGCGAAUCCUUUAAAGCCGGUCUCAGUUCGGAUCGGGGUCUGCAACUCGACCCCGUGAAGUCGGAGUCGCUAGUAAUCGCAGAUCAGCAACGCUGCGGUGAAUACGUUCCCGGGCCUUGUACACACCGCCCGUCACGUCAUGAAAGUCGGUAACACCCGAAGCCGGUGGCCUAACCCCUUGUGGGAGGGAGCCGUCGAAGUGAUCCGCAUUCCU
Molecule: ribosomal RNA, 1250 nt
Filed under: Mycobacterium sp.
Lineage: Bacteria; Bacillati; Actinomycetota; Actinomycetes; Mycobacteriales; Mycobacteriaceae
Description: bacterial SSU rRNA
Rfam family: Bacterial small subunit ribosomal RNA
Source: RNAcentral